Molecule: long non-coding RNA, 985 nt
Organism: Sorex araneus (European shrew)
Lineage: Eukaryota; Metazoa; Chordata; Mammalia; Eulipotyphla; Soricidae
Exons: 3
Source: RefSeq, a predicted model, not a curated record
GUGCCAGGGGCCAGUCCUCGUAAGUCAGAUGUGCCAGUCGAAGUUGGCCUGGGCCAACCGGACCUUCCCAGCGUGGGGGGCAGCACGCGUUCCUGAAAGCGAGUGUUUGCAGGUGCAAUUUCUGACGGCCACGCGAGCAAAUUAGUGGGCGCUUCGGAACGCACACGCCGGAGGCAAAACCUGAGACUGCCGCUGGGGGAAAAAAGGCUUCUUUGAAGACUAUCCUACCCUGAUUGUGACUCAGAGCUCGUGUACUACGGAAUGGAAGAAGGCCGGAGAGCAGUGGCCUCUAUUGCGCAGUUCCUGAGGACACAUGCAGAGGUGGAAAUAAAAGCCCAGAAGCCCCUGUGGUCCCAGGAGUCUGGCCUUGCUCACUGUGUUGAAAGCUGUUUAGAUGAUCAUCCUUCUGCGUCCUACUCAGAGAUGAUGAUGGUGCUGGACUCCAGGCUUCCUGCUCUCCCCAGCUCCCUGGUUCCUGGGAAGUUUUUGAUGUGAUUAUCAUCUGAGUGACACUGCUUGCCCUCUGGUUGUUUGGUGAGCCUUGGGGACAAAGUGGUUCUGAUAACUCUCUUCAGUAACUGACCUUUAUUCAACAGCACACACCUUUUAAUUUGCAUUGAAAUUUAAAAAAAUUUCAUUUUAGGCACUCUGGUUAACAACACAGUUCAUGGUAGGGGUUCACGCAUAAAACAUCCCAACAACACACCCUCUACCAGUGUUUGCUUUCCUCCAUCAUUGUCUCCGUGUUUACCCAAACCCACUCCUUCCCCCUCCCCGCCCCCUGCUCCUGGUAAAUUUUCUACUGAAGAACAGCUUUCAGCUUCUGUUGCCUUUAAUCAUUUUUCUACUAUUAUGUUUCUUUAUAGUCCACAUACUAGAGAAAUCAGUCUGUCUCUGCCCCUCUCCUUGAUUUACUUUUUUUUUUUUAAACAGUCUGCUGGUUACCCAUGUCAUUGUGUCUCUCUGGUCCAAACCUCAGUAAGGA